GACGAACGCUGGCGGCGUGCUUAACACAUGCAAGUCGAGCGGACCUUCGGGUCAGCGGCGAACGGGUGAGUAACACGUGGGCAACCUGCCCCAGACUCUGGAAUAACUCCGGGAAACCGGGGCUAAUGCCGGAUAUGACACCGUCGGGCAUCUGGUGGUGUGUAAAGAUUUAUUGGUCUGGGAUGGGCCCGCGGCCUAUCAGCUUGUUGGUGGGGUGACGGCCUACCAAGGCGACGACGGGUAGCCGGCCUGAGAGGGCGACCGGCCACACUGGGACUGAGACACGGCCCAGACUCCUACGGGAGGCAGCAGUGGGGAAUAUUGCGCAAUGGGCGAAAGCCUGACGCAGCGACGCCGCGUGAGGGAUGAAGGCC
RNAcentral lists this ribosomal RNA (374 nucleotides) under Frankia sp. Its description in RNAcentral is "bacterial SSU rRNA". It matches the Rfam family "Bacterial small subunit ribosomal RNA", at positions 28 to 416 of the family's 1533-position model. Lineage: Bacteria; Bacillati; Actinomycetota; Actinomycetes; Frankiales; Frankiaceae. The record is from RNAcentral.